RNAcentral lists this small RNA (669 nucleotides) under Pongo abelii (Sumatran orangutan). RNAcentral's name for it is "retained intron". Lineage: Eukaryota; Metazoa; Chordata; Mammalia; Primates; Hominidae. The record is from RNAcentral.
CAGAUCAACACCGACUCCAGCCUCCUCAACUCCGAGUUCUGCUUCAUCCUCAAGGUUCCCUUUGAGAGUGAGGACAACCAGGGCAUCGUGUAUGCCUGGGUGGGCCGGGCAUCAGACCCUGACGAAGCCAAGUUGGCAGAAGACAUCCUGAACACCAUGUUUGACACCUCCUACAGCAAGCAGGUCAGGGGGCGGGUGGGCAGGUGGGCACACACAGGGGAGCCAGGGCAGGCAGGGGCCCUGGGCUGGACUGGCCUUUCCCGCAGGUUAUCAACGAAGGCGAGGAGCCUGAGAACUUCUUCUGGGUGGGCAUUGGGGCACAGAAGCCCUAUGAUGACGAUGCCGAGUACAUGAAACACACACGGCUCUUCCGGUGCUCCAAUGAGAAGGGCUACUUUGCAGUGACUGAGAAAUGCUCUGACUUUUGCCAAGAUGACCUGGCAGAUGAUGACAUCAUGUUGCUAGACAACGGCCAAGAGGUCUACAUGUGGGUGGGGACCCAGACUAGCCAGGUGGAGAUCAAGCUGAGCCUGAAGGCCUGCCAGGUAAGCUGGGUGGAGGGAGGGCCGAGGUGGGCCUGUGGGCAGGGCAGGGUCAUCACCCAAGGCUCACUGUCCCCUUGCCAGGUAUAUAUCCAGCACAUACGGUCCAAGGAACAUGAGCGGCCAC